Molecule: ribosomal RNA, 158 nt
Filed under: uncultured Glomus
Lineage: Eukaryota; Fungi; Glomeromycota; Glomeromycetes; Glomerales; Glomeraceae
Description: 5.8S ribosomal RNA
Rfam family: 5.8S ribosomal RNA
About the family: 5.8S ribosomal RNA (5.8S rRNA) is a component of the large subunit of the eukaryotic ribosome. It is transcribed by RNA polymerase I as part of the 45S precursor that also contains 18S and 28S rRNA. Functionally, it is thought that 5.8S rRNA may be involved in ribosome translocation.
Source: RNAcentral
UCACUUUCAACAACGGAUCUCUUGGCUCUCGCAUCGAUGAAGAACGUAGCGAAGUGCGAUAAGUAAUGUGAACCGCAGUAUUCCGUGAAUCAUCGAACCUUUGAACGCAUAUUGCACUUUCUGGUAUUCCGGAAAGUAUGCCUGUUUGAGGGUCAGUU